This 497-nucleotide ribosomal RNA is filed under the name uncultured bacterium. RNAcentral's name for it is "partial 16S ribosomal RNA". It matches the Rfam family "Bacterial small subunit ribosomal RNA", at positions 28 to 507 of the family's 1533-position model. The record is from RNAcentral.
GAUGAACGCUGGCGGCGUGCCUAAUACAUGCAAGUCGAGCGAACAGACGAGGAGCUUGCUCCUCUGACGUUAGCGGCGGACGGGUGAGUAACACGUGGAUCACCUACCUAUAAGACUGGGAUAACUUCGGGAAACCGGAGCUAAUACCGGAUAAUAUAUUGAACCGCAUGGUUCAAUAGUUAAAGACGGUUUUGCUGUCACUUAUAGAUGGAUCCGCGCCGCAUUAGCUAGUUGGUAAGGUAACGGCUUACCAAGGCAACGAUGCGUAGCCGACCUGAGAGGGUGGUCGGCCACACUGGAACUGAGAAACGGUCGAGACUCCUACGGGGGGCAGCAGUAGGGAAUCUUCCGCAACGGGCGAAAGCUUGACGGAGCAACGCCGCGUGAGUGAUGAAGGUCUUCGGAUCGUAAAACUCUGUUAUUAGGGAAGAACAAAUGUGUAAGUAACUAUGAACGUAUUGACGGUACCUAAACAGAAAGCCACGGCUAACUACGUG